GGGGACUGUUCUCAACUAUGUGGCCUUGCCACAGUAGGUUUGGAGGAAGGGGUCAGGUGUACCAGCUAACUAAACCUUCUCUUAGGAUCCUAUGCUCACGAUAGAUGCAUACCGUCAUGCUAACAUCAAUUGUUUAUAUUUAAUACUGGUUCUAAUUUAAAAUACUACAAGGAAUGGUCAAUUCAACCCAAUGUGGGAGAACAUGCUUUUAAUUCCUGGCACUUGGCAAACUGAGGCAGAAGCAUUAAAGUUCAACAUCUGCCUGGACUGUGGAGCAAGUUCAAGGGCAGUCUGAGUUCCAUGGUGAAGUUUCAGGCAAGCCUGGGCUACAUACAGAGCUCUGGGCUAGCAUGAGCUAACAUAAUGGGACUCCUUCCUACU
This 381-nucleotide long non-coding RNA is filed under the name Mus musculus (house mouse). Its description in RNAcentral is "long non-coding RNA chr5:130844506-130844887". The record is from RNAcentral. Lineage: Eukaryota; Metazoa; Chordata; Mammalia; Rodentia; Muridae.